RNAcentral lists this unclassified non-coding RNA (215 nucleotides) under Phaeosphaeria podocarpi. Its description in RNAcentral is "partial internal transcribed spacer region". The stretch from base 1 to 46 matches the Rfam family "Eukaryotic small subunit ribosomal RNA", at positions 1786 to 1831 of the family's 1831-position model. The record is from RNAcentral. Lineage: Eukaryota; Fungi; Ascomycota; Dothideomycetes; Pleosporales; Phaeosphaeriaceae.
AAGUCGUAACAAGGUUUCCGUAGGUGAACCUGCGGAAGGAUCAUUACAUUCAGUAGCCUAGCUACUUGUUUACACCCUUGUUUUUUGUGUACCUAUUGUUUCCUCGGUGGGCUUGCCUGCCGGUUGGACAAAACCUAUAACCUUUUUAAAUCUUCAAUCAGCGUCUGAAUUAUACAUAAUAAUUACAACUUUCAACAACGGAUCUCUUGGUUCUG